GGGGGGAAUAUUGCACAAUGGGCGAAAGCCUGAUGCAGCGACGCCGCGUGAGGGAUGACGGCCUUCGGGUUGUAAACCUCUUUCAGCAGGGACGAAGCGCAAGUGACGGUACCUGCAGAAGAAGCACCGGCUAACUACGUGCCAGCAGCCGCGGUAAUACGUAGGGUGCGAGCGUUGUCCGGAAUUAUUGGGCGUAAAGAGCUCGUAGGCGGUUUGUCGCGUCGGCCGUGAAAACUUGGGGCUUAACUCCAAGCUUGCGGUCGAUACGGGCAGACUUGAGUUCGGCAGGGGAGACUGGAAUUCCUGGCGUAGCGGUGAAAUGCGCAGAUAUCAGGAGGAACACCGGUGGCGAAGGCGGGUCUCUGGGCCGAUACUGACGCUGAGGAGCGAAAGCGUGGGGAGCGAA
Molecule: ribosomal RNA, 406 nt
Filed under: uncultured bacterium
Lineage: Bacteria
Description: bacterial SSU rRNA
Rfam family: Bacterial small subunit ribosomal RNA
Source: RNAcentral